GCCUGGGUGGCUCAGUCGGUUAAGCGUCUGACUUCAGCUCAGGUCACGAUCUCGCAGUUCGUGAGUUCAAGCCCCACAUCAGGCU
RNAcentral lists this transfer RNA (85 nucleotides) under Felis catus (domestic cat). It matches the Rfam family "tRNA". From Rfam's summary of the family: Transfer RNA (tRNA) molecules are approximately 80 nucleotides in length. Their secondary structure includes four short double-helical elements and three loops (D, anti-codon, and T loops). Further hydrogen bonds mediate the characteristic L-shaped molecular structure. tRNAs have two regions of fundamental functional importance: the anti-codon, which is responsible for specific mRNA codon recognition, and the 3' end, to which the tRNAs corresponding amino acid is attached (by aminoacyl-tRNA synthetases). tRNAs cope with the degeneracy of the genetic code in two manners: having more than one tRNA (with a specific anti-codon) for a particular amino acid; and 'wobble' base-pairing, i.e. permitting non-standard base-pairing at the 3rd anti-codon position. Lineage: Eukaryota; Metazoa; Chordata; Mammalia; Carnivora; Felidae. The record is from Rfam by way of RNAcentral.